GGGCGGGUAGCCCAGUUGGUGAGAGCGCUGCCCUUACAAGGCAGAGGUCGGGAGUUCGAGUCUCCCCCCGCCCA
This 74-nucleotide transfer RNA is filed under the name Caldisericota bacterium. Its description in RNAcentral is "Caldiserica bacterium tRNA-Val". It matches the Rfam family "tRNA". From Rfam's summary of the family: Transfer RNA (tRNA) molecules are approximately 80 nucleotides in length. Lineage: Bacteria; Pseudomonadati; Caldisericota. The record is from RNAcentral. RNAcentral also lists the same sequence under 1 other name.